GGAGGGGGCCCUGCAGGUGGAGGAGGGGGCCCUGCAGGUGGAGGAGGGGGCCCUGCAGGUGGAGGAGGGGGCCCUGCAGGUAGAGGAGGUGGCCCACCCGGACACGGAAGGACCAGCGGUCUCUACUGUGCAGAGGAAGCGGAGGAGAAAAGAGCAUCACAGCCAGAAGGGGCUUGAAAAAAGGAACAAAACUUUACCGAAG
Molecule: long non-coding RNA, 202 nt
Organism: Gadus morhua (Atlantic cod)
Lineage: Eukaryota; Metazoa; Chordata; Actinopteri; Gadiformes; Gadidae
Exons: 3
Source: RefSeq, a predicted model, not a curated record